UACCGUAUGUGCCCUUCGGGGGAAAGAUUUAUCGGGCAAAGGAUCGGCCCGCGUUGGAUUAGGUAGUUGGUGGGGGUAAUGGCCUACCAAGCCGACGAUCCAUAGCUGGUUUGAGAGGAUGAUCAGCCACACUGGGACUGAGACACGGCCCAGACUCCUACGGGAGGCAGCAGUGGGGAAUCUUAGACAAUGGGCGCAAGCCUGAUCUAGCCAUGCCGCGUGAUCGAUGAAGGCCUUAGGGUUGUAAAGAUCUUUCAGUGGGAAGAUAAUGACUGUACCCACAGAAGAAGCCCCGGCUAACUCCGUG
This 307-nucleotide ribosomal RNA is filed under the name uncultured bacterium. Its description in RNAcentral is "bacterial SSU rRNA". It matches the Rfam family "Bacterial small subunit ribosomal RNA", at positions 167 to 507 of the family's 1533-position model. The record is from RNAcentral.